RNAcentral lists this ribosomal RNA (207 nucleotides) under uncultured bacterium. RNAcentral's name for it is "partial 16S ribosomal RNA". It matches the Rfam family "Bacterial small subunit ribosomal RNA", at positions 568 to 774 of the family's 1533-position model. The record is from RNAcentral.
UGCGUAGGCGGUUGGGUAAGUCAGAGGUGAAAUUCCGGGGCUCAACCUCGGAACUGCCUUUGAUACUGCCUGACUGGAGUACUGGAGAGGAGACUGGAAUUCACGGUGUAGCAGUGAAAUGCGUAGAUAUCGUGAGGAAGACCAGUGGCGAAGGCGAGUCUCUGGACAGUUACUGACGCUGAGGCACGAAGGCUAGGGGAGCAAACG